CAUGCUCCUCCUCCCCCACCCCCCACCCUGAUCCGCUGGCCUUAAAGGUAUUUGCUUCCAGGCUGUGCUGGGGUGGGGAGGGAGGUCUGUGGGAUCUGACUUGAGCCAGAGGCAAGAACUGGGAUGGAAAGUUAGGGAAUCCUGGCUGAGGUGGCAUGCAGGGAGGCUGCCCCUAGUGGGGAUGGCGGAAUUGCCAGCUAAUGCCAAGGCCUCUUCCUGUCCCUGCUCUUGCCCACAGGGGCUAUUGUGGCCUCAUGUUGUAACUGGGACUCGUGUGGCUCAGAGAGUUCGGGAACCCAGCCAAGGUCAUGUCUCCUAAUGGCAGUGCUGAGACUGGAGCCCGAGGACUGAAGGCCAUCACCAGCAGCCACGUGGUGGCAGGCUGGGCUGGGCUGGGGAGGGGAGGGGUCCUCACUGUGGUGGGAAGGCUGGGAGGCCUGAUGCAGGGCCGUCUGUUGUGAGCUGGGUGGUCCCUAGUUCAUGAGAGCCUUCCUCUGCUAGCACUGUGGAGAGUGGGGGAAGAGGUUAGCUCCAGUCCUGCCCAGCACGGGAGAGAGAAAAUCGGUUGUGGCUGGUAUGACGGCCCAGACUAGCCGAGCAGGUGUGCCAGCCCAUGGGCUGGUGGAAGUGUGAGUGUGACCGAGCAACAGAGGGAUGGUUCUGGUCUAAUGCUCUUGGCAGAAGCGGCCUUGUGGGAGGAGGAAGGAUCCCAAACCGGCCCUGCCCUUUCCCUCUCUUCCUUCAAGCUCUUCCAGGGGAACACUAGAUCCUCAGCACGAGAACAACUCGGGCCCAGGGAAGGCCAGGCCUCGGGGACAAGGGUGCUCUGUCCGAUCAGCCUUGGCGGUGGGCAGUCGGCUCAGACCUGAACUUGUGGACACUGACCUGGCCUGUUCUUGGCUGAAAAGGUUUCCCACGCAGGCAUCGCCUCUUGGACUCUGGCCUUCUAACCCAUGCUCAAGGAAAAGCAACUCCAGACUGAGGAAUGUGGAUCUAGAAAAUGGGGAUUUGUGGAAGGUUUGCAGUCAGGAGGGUGACCUGUGCCACGUCCAGCCUCUGAAGGUCUGUGACUCCCCACCACCCUGGCUCUCCUUCUGUCCCCAGUCAGGAUCCUGCUCUGCGGUGUCCUUCAACUGCCCCCUCCUCCCUCUGCCCCACCUCUUCUAAGGAAGGAUUGGAAAAAUCCUUAGAGAUUUUUCAACCAAGUAAACUGUGCAUUUUCAGGACUUAAUUCUGGACCCUGUCUUCUCUCGACACUCUGCAUAGGUGAGCUCACCUUUGCUCAUUUUUUCAGUGCCUCCACAUACUAGUGUCCCUUAAAUUCAUGUCCAGUCCAGAACUUUGGUCUCAAUUAUCCACCGGCCUAUUUGAUAUCUUCAUUUGUGUGCCUCACGAACAUCCCCAACUCAGGACCCCUUGUUGUAAUCUUCCUUCAGUAAAUCCUAAUGACUUUAUCUCCAAAAUAUACGUCAGAUGUAUUCACUUCUUCCCCGUCUCUUCAGCUCCCACUCUUGCUUGAGCUGAUAGCAUCUCUCCCACCGAACUUGUCCUGGCCGUUUCCGGCCAUUGCCUUUUAAUGUGACCCUCAACUCAUUCUCUGUAGAACAACCCAAGUAAUCUGGUUAAACUGCAGAUUAAAUCAUUUUAGUCUCAUGCGUACAUCUCUUAAUGACUACUUAUUGUAUGCAGAAUGAAAUCUAAUAAUGUGCUAUAAUUGGCCCCUAUCUACCUGUGUUAGCCAUUAGUGCUGUUCAUCCAUGCUUUCCAUUUCUUCUCUCCUUCCAGGCACCUGGGAUGACUGCAUACCCUUGAAGUGAAGAUAGGACUAUGACACUUGCUUUGGACAACGAAACGUAUGGCCUGGACCCUCUGCACUGCUACCUAUCAAGUCUGGACCUGUUAACAAAGAUUCGGGGAAGAAUAGCGACCCUAAUUUCAUAGACUUUCUGUCUGGACUUACCCACAACCAUCCGGAUAUAAAUGUUGCCCUGUCCUGUUACCCACGCUAUGAGCCUCUGCUUAGACGGUGUUGUCCGAGUCCCACGCCUCUGCUCUGCUGUUCGCAGACUACACUGCAGGUCCCUCUAUAGCGUGUGAAUUUAUGCACAGAUCUAGAUGUGUGCACUGAACACCAAGGAAAUUCACCGAAAGUUCUACGGUUCUCUGCUUCUGUUUUUACCAAAGAUUUCAACUACGUCUAUGGCUUUUGGACAAUGACUUUCGGAUCCCAGCAGGUUUUACUGAUGACACCUGGGCUUAAUAGAAAUCACGUGAACUGGUCAGGAUCCUGUGCUCUCUGCUGCCCACUGUAGAUGAGGUCCCCAUCGAGAUACAGAAGGAGAACACGGCCCGGGUGCCCCGGAGGCCCAACCCCAAGAUAAUGGCUGGUUGGGGAAGAAGGAGUCAUACGA
Molecule: long non-coding RNA, 2411 nt
Organism: Lynx canadensis (Canada lynx)
Lineage: Eukaryota; Metazoa; Chordata; Mammalia; Carnivora; Felidae
Exons: 3
Source: RefSeq, a predicted model, not a curated record